ACGAACGCUGGCGGCGUGCCUAAUACAUGCAAGUAGAACGCUGAAGGAGGAGCUUGCUCUUCUGGAUGAGUUGCGAACGGGUGAGUAACGCGUAGGUAACCUGCCUGGUAGCGGGGGAUAACUAUUGGAAACGAUAGCUAAUACCGCAUAACAGUAGAUGUUGCAUGACAUUUACUUAAAAGGUGCAAUUGCAUCACUACCAGAUGGACCUGCGUUGUAUUAGCUAGUUGGUGGGGUAACGGCUCACCAAGGCGACGAUACAUAGCCGACCUGAGAGGGUGAUCGGCCACACUGGGACUGAGACACGGCCCAGACUCCUACGGGAGGCAGCAGUAGGGAAUCUUCGGCAAUGGACGGAAGUCUGACCGAGCAACGCCGCGGGAGUGAAGAAGGGUUUCGGAUCGUAAAGCUCUGUUGUAAGAGAAGAACGAGUGUGAGAGUGGAAAGUUCACACUGUGACGGUAGCUUACCAGAAAGGGACGGCUAACUACGUG
This 494-nucleotide ribosomal RNA is filed under the name uncultured bacterium. RNAcentral's name for it is "partial 16S ribosomal RNA". It matches the Rfam family "Bacterial small subunit ribosomal RNA", at positions 29 to 507 of the family's 1533-position model. The record is from RNAcentral.